AACGAACGCUGGCGGCAUGCCUAACACAUGCAAGUCGAACGAGACCUUCGGGUCUAGUGGCGCACGGGUGCGUAACACGUGGGAAUUUGCCUCGGGGUAUGGAAUAACUCAGGGAAACUUGAGCUAAUACCAUAUAAUGUCUUCGGACCAAAGAUUUAUCGCCCUGAGAUAAGCCCGCGUAGGAUUAGCUAGUUGGUGGGGUAAAGGCUCACCAAGGCGACGAUCCUUAGCUGGUCUGAGAGGAUGAUCAGCCACACUGGGACUGAGACACGGCCCAGACUCCUACGGGAGGCAGCAGUGGGGAAUAUUGGACAAUGGGCGAAAGCCUGAUCCAGCAAUGCCGCGUGAGUGAUGAAGGCCUUCGGGUUGUAAAGCUCUUUUACUCGGGACGAUAAUGACGGUACCGAGAGAAUAAGCCCCGGCUAACUCCGUG
RNAcentral lists this ribosomal RNA (433 nucleotides) under uncultured bacterium. RNAcentral's name for it is "bacterial SSU rRNA". It matches the Rfam family "Bacterial small subunit ribosomal RNA", at positions 29 to 507 of the family's 1533-position model. The record is from RNAcentral.